CCUACGGGAGGCAGCAGUGGGGAAUAUUGCACAAUGGGGGAAACCCUGAUGCAGCGACGCCGCGUGAGUGAAGAAGUAUUUCGGUACGUAAAGCUCUAUCAGCAGGGAAGAAAAAAAGUCCUUUGGACUUUGGACGGUACCUGACCAAGAAGCCCCGGCUAACUACGUGCCAGCAGCCGCGGGAAUACGUAGGGGGCAAGCGUUAUCCGGAUUUACUGGGUUUAAAGGGUGCGUAGGUUGUUUUAACAGUUAGCGGUGAAAUACCGAUGGUCAACAUCGGGGCUGCCGCUAAUACUGUAGGACUAGAGAGCGGAUGCAGCAGGCGGAAUGUGUGGUGUAGCGGUGAAAUGCAUAGAUAUUACACAGAACACCGAUUGCGAAGGCAGCUUGCUAGGCCGGAUCUGACACUGAUGCACGAAAGCGUGGGGAUCGAACAGGAUUAGAUACCCCUGUAGUC
This 457-nucleotide ribosomal RNA is filed under the name uncultured bacterium. RNAcentral describes it as "partial 16S ribosomal RNA". It matches the Rfam family "Bacterial small subunit ribosomal RNA", at positions 338 to 795 of the family's 1533-position model. The record is from RNAcentral.